CCUACGGGGAGCUGCAGUGGGGGAUAUUGCACAAUGGGGGAAACCCUGAUGCAGCGACGCCGCGUGUGGGAAGACGGUCUUCUGGAUUGUAAACCACUGUCCCCAGGGACGAAAAUGACGGUACCUGGGGAGGAAGCUCCGGCUAACUACGUGCCAGCAGCCGCGGUAAUACGUAGGGAGUAAGCGUUGUCCGGAAUUACUGGGUGUAAAGGGAGCGUAGGCGGGGAUGCAAGUUGGGUGUCAAAACUACCGGCUCAACCGAUAGUCGCACUCAAAACUGCAGCUCUUGAGUGAAGUAGAGGCAGGCGGAAUUCCUAGUGUAGCGGUGAAAUGCGUAGAUAUUAGGAGGAACACCAGUGGCGAAGGCGGCCUGCUGGGCUUUUACUGACGCUGAGGCUCGAAAGUGUGGGGAGCAAACAGGAUUAGAUACCCGGGUAGUC
Molecule: ribosomal RNA, 440 nt
Filed under: uncultured bacterium
Lineage: Bacteria
Description: partial 16S ribosomal RNA
Rfam family: Bacterial small subunit ribosomal RNA
Source: RNAcentral